Molecule: ribosomal RNA, 492 nt
Filed under: uncultured bacterium
Lineage: Bacteria
Description: partial 16S ribosomal RNA
Rfam family: Bacterial small subunit ribosomal RNA
Source: RNAcentral
AGUGAACGCUGGCGGUGGGCCUAACACAUGCCAGUCGAACGGCCGCACAGUAAGAGCUUGCUCUUACGGUUGGCGAGUGGCGGGCGGGUGAGGCAUACAUCGGCAUCUACUUUUUCGUGGGGGAUAACGUAGGGCAGCUGACGCUAAUAGCGCAUACGACCUACGGGUGAAAUCAGGGGUUCUUCGGGCCUUGCGCGAUUGUAUGAGCCGAUGUCGCAUUAGCUAGUUGGGUGGGUAAAGGCCCACCAAGGCAACGAUCCGUAGCUGGCCUGAGAGGAUGAUCAGCCACACUGGAACUGAGACACGGUCCAGACUCCUACGGGAGGCAGCAGUGGGGAAUAUUGGACAAUGGGCGCAAGCCUGAUCCAGCCAUACCGCGUGGGUGAAGAAGGCCUUCGGGUUGUAAAGCCCUUUUGUUGGGAAAGAAAAGCAGCAUGUGAAUACCCCGCUGUUCUGACGGUACCCAAAGAAUAAGCACCGGCUAACUUCGUG